This 302-nucleotide ribosomal RNA is filed under the name uncultured Streptomyces sp. RNAcentral describes it as "bacterial SSU rRNA". It matches the Rfam family "Bacterial small subunit ribosomal RNA", at positions 29 to 334 of the family's 1533-position model. Lineage: Bacteria; Bacillati; Actinomycetota; Actinomycetes; Kitasatosporales; Streptomycetaceae. The record is from RNAcentral.
ACGAACGCUGGCGGCGUGCUUAACACAUGCAAGUCGAACGAUGAACCACUUCGGUGGGGAUUAGUGGCGAACGGGUGAGUAACACGUGGGCAAUCUGCCCUGCACUCUGGGACAAGCCCUGGAAACGGGGUCUAAUACCGGAUACUGAUCCGUCUGGGCAUCCAGACGGUUCGAAAGCUCCGGCGGUGCAGGAUGAGCCCGCGGCCUAUCAGCUUGUUGGUGAGGUAGUGGCUCACCAAGGCGACGACGGGUAGCCGGCCUGAGAGGGCGACCGGCCACACUGGGACUGAGACACGGCCCAG